Molecule: ribosomal RNA, 301 nt
Filed under: uncultured bacterium
Lineage: Bacteria
Description: partial 16S ribosomal RNA
Rfam family: Bacterial small subunit ribosomal RNA
Source: RNAcentral
CAGUCGCCGGGUAAUACGAAGGGUGCAAGCGUUACUCGGAAUUACUGGGCGUAAAGCGUGCGUAGGUGGUGGUUUAAGUCCGUUGUGAAAGCCCUGGGCUCAACCUGGGAAUUGCAGUGGAUACUGGGUCACUAGAGUGUGGUAGAGGAUAGUGGAAUUUCCGGUGUAGCAGUGAAAUGCGUAGAGAUCGGAAGGAACAUCUGUGGCGAAGGCGACUAUCUGGGCCAACACUGACACUGAGGCACGAAAGCGUGGGGAGCAAACAGGAUUAGAUACCCCUGUAGUCCCUGUCUCUUAUACA